This 462-nucleotide ribosomal RNA is filed under the name uncultured bacterium. RNAcentral describes it as "bacterial SSU rRNA". It matches the Rfam family "Bacterial small subunit ribosomal RNA", at positions 338 to 793 of the family's 1533-position model. The record is from RNAcentral.
CCUACGGGAGGCAGCAGUGGGGAAUAUUGCACAAUGGGGGAAACCCUGAUGCAGCCAUGCCGCGUGUGUGAAGAAGGCCUUCGGGUUGUAAAGCACUUUCAGUAGGGAGGAAGGUAGUGUAGUUAACACCUGCAUUAUUUGACGUUACCUACAGAAGAAGCACCGGCUAACUCCGUGCCAGCAGCCGCGGUAAUACGGAGGGUGCGAGCGUUAAUCGGAAUUACUGGGCGUAAAGCGCAUGCAGGCGGCCUGUUAAGUCAGAUGUGAAAGCCCGGGGCUUAACCUCGGAAUUGCAUUUGAAACUGGCAGGCUAGAGUCUUGUAGAGGGGGUAGAAUUUCAGGUGUAGCGGUGAAAUGCGUAGAGAUCUGAAGGAAUACCAGUGGCGAAGGCGGCCCCCUGGACAAAGACUGACGCUCAGAUGCGAAAGCGUGGGGAGCAAACAGGAUUAGAUACCCUGGGAG